RNAcentral lists this unclassified non-coding RNA (335 nucleotides) under soil metagenome. RNAcentral describes it as "partial contains 5.8S ribosomal RNA, internal transcribed spacer 2, and large subunit ribosomal RNA". The stretch from base 1 to 120 matches the Rfam family "5.8S ribosomal RNA", at positions 35 to 154 of the family's 154-position model. The record is from RNAcentral.
GAUGAAGAACGUAGCGAAAUGCGAAAAGUAGUGUGAAUUGCAGAAUUCAGUGAAUCAUCGAAUCUUUGAACGCACAUUGCGCCCGCCAGUAUUCUGGCGGGCAUGCCUGUUCGAGCGUCAUUUCAACCAUCAAGCCCCAGGCUUGUGUUGGGGACCUGCGGCUGCCGCAGGCCCUGAAAACCAGUGGCGGGCUCGCUGUCACACCGGGCGUAGUAGAUUUUAUCUCGCUCUGGGCGUGCUGCGGGUUCCGGCCGUUAAAAAACCCUUUUAACCCAAGGUUGACCUCGGAUCAGGUAGGAAUACCCGCUGAACUUAAGCAUAUCAAUAGCGGAGGA